GACGAACGCUGGCGGCGUGCUUAACACAUGCAAGUCGAACGGAAAGGCCCUGCUUUUGUGGGGUGCUCGAGUGGCGAACGGGUGAGUAACACGUGAGUAACCUGCCCUUGACUUUGGGAUAACUUCAGGAAACUGGGGCUAAUACCGGAUAGGAGCUCCUGCUGCAUGGUGGGGGUUGGAAAGUUUCGGCGGUUGGGGAUGGACGCGCGGCUUAUCAGCUUGUUGGUGGGGUAGUGGCUUACCAAGGCUUUGACGGGUAGCCGGCCUGAGAGGGUGACCGGCCCCAUUGGGACUGAGAUACGGCCCAGACUCCUACGGGAGGCAGCAGUGGGGAAUAUUGCACAAUGGGCGGAAGCCUGAUGCAGCAACGCCGCGUGCGGGAUGACGGCCUUCGGGUUGUAAACCGCUUUCGCCUGUGACGAAGCGUGAGUGACGGUAAUGGGUAAAGAAGCACCGGCUAACUACGUG
RNAcentral lists this ribosomal RNA (468 nucleotides) under uncultured bacterium. RNAcentral describes it as "partial 16S ribosomal RNA". It matches the Rfam family "Bacterial small subunit ribosomal RNA", at positions 28 to 507 of the family's 1533-position model. The record is from RNAcentral.